UCUACUGAUCCUUUUGCCACUUCAAGUACUGACCCUUUCAGUGCAUCCAGCAAUAGCAGUAAUACAUCGGUAGAGACUUGGAAGCACAAUGACCCAUUUGCUCCUGGUGGGACAGUUGUUGCAGCUACUGACUCAGCCACAGACCCUUUUGCUUCUGUUUUUGGAAAUGAAUCAUUUGGAGAUGGAUUUGCUGACUUCAGCACAUUAUCUAAGGUCAGCAAUGAAGAUCCUUUUAAUCCUACCAUAUCAAGUUCUGCCAGCAGUGUGGUCAUUCCAAAACCUGUGUUAGAGGAAACACCCAGCAAGAGUGAAGAUGUGCCUCCAGCACUGCCACCCAAGACCGGCACUCCAACAAGACCCUGCCCACCACCCCCUGUAUCCCUCUGAAGAAGACAUGAUUGAGUGGGCCAAGAGGGAGAGUGAGCGAGAAGAAGAGCAGAGGCUCGCCAGACUAAAUCAGCAGGAACAAGAAGACUUGGAACUGGCCAUUGCACUUAGCAAAUCAGAGAUCUCAGAAGCAUGAAGAGUCCUCUGUCCCCGUCAGCCGCACAUGCUCUUCCUGAAUACCGAAGCUGUUUACCAUGUGCAUCCAACUACCUAUGAGCAUGGGAUACAAAGGUUUGCGAUUCCUGUAAAUGUGACAAGUCUAGUUUGUUCGUUUGGGGGGGGGGGAACUUCAAAUGUGUCUUUUAUUUUUUCUUCCAAAAGCAGUACCCUAAUUAAACAGCUUUGCCUAGA
This 738-nucleotide long non-coding RNA is filed under the name Rattus norvegicus (Norway rat). Its description in RNAcentral is "long non-coding RNA NONRATT022485". Lineage: Eukaryota; Metazoa; Chordata; Mammalia; Rodentia; Muridae. The record is from RNAcentral.